CCUUAGUGAGAUAGUACGGAGUAUCUUCUCUCUUUGGGUGAAUGGUGGUCGGUAGGCAUCCUCUCGUAAUUGGCUCUUAAUCUGUAAGAAGAUGAUGAGACGUGUUAUGGAAGGUUGAUGUAGAUAAUAUCACUAGCCCCCCAGUUUGGGAGGGAUGUUUACACACCUCGUUAUGGAGUCCCUUCUCGAGCUUUUAGAGACAUUUUUGCAUGAAGAGAGACGUGGAAGGUUGUGAAGCCUGCAAGGCGACUUUCGUAUGAGGAAGAUGUAGAUGCAAACUUAAACAAAUUUGAUUUAAGAUGGAUGU
This 307-nucleotide long non-coding RNA is filed under the name Erythranthe guttata (spotted monkey flower). Its description in RNAcentral is "long non-coding RNA (EGUT_LNC003267)". Lineage: Eukaryota; Viridiplantae; Streptophyta; Magnoliopsida; Lamiales; Phrymaceae. The record is from RNAcentral.